CCUACGGGAGGCAGCAGUAGGGAAUCUUGCGCAAUGGGCGAAAGCCUGACGCAGCCAUGCCGCGUGAAUGAUGAAGGUCUUAGGAUUGUAAAAUUCUUUCACCGGGGACGAUAAUGACGGUACCCGGAGAAGAAGCCCCGGCUAACUUCGUGCCAGCAGCCGCGGUAAUACGAAGGGGGCUAGCGUUGCUCGGAAUUACUGGGCGUAAAGGGAGCGUAGGCGGAUAGUUUAGUCAGAGGUGAAAGCCCAGGGCUCAACCUUGGAAUUGCCUUUGAUACUGGCUAUCUUGAGUAUGGAAGAGGUAUGUGGAACUCCGAGUGUAGAGGUGAAAUUCGUAGAUAUUCGGAAGAACACCAGUGGCGAAGGCGACAUACUGGUCCAUUACUGACGCUGAGGCUCGAAAGCGUGGGGAGCAAACAGGAUUAGAUACCCUGGUAGUCCACGCCGUAAACGAUGAGUGCUAGUUGUCGGCAUGCAUGCAUGUCGGUGACGCAGCUAACGCAUUAAGCACUCCGCCGUCGGGAGGUACGGUCGCGAAGAAUUAAAACUAACAAAUAGAAGUUAGACGGACGUGAGACGUAGCCGAACGGACGACCGACGAACGGGGAGGUUAGGG
Molecule: ribosomal RNA, 616 nt
Filed under: uncultured bacterium
Lineage: Bacteria
Description: bacterial SSU rRNA
Rfam family: Bacterial small subunit ribosomal RNA (bases 1-517)
Source: RNAcentral